This 253-nucleotide ribosomal RNA is filed under the name uncultured bacterium. RNAcentral describes it as "partial 16S ribosomal RNA". It matches the Rfam family "Bacterial small subunit ribosomal RNA", at positions 524 to 776 of the family's 1533-position model. The record is from RNAcentral.
UACGUAGGGAGCAAGCGUUGUCCGGAAUCAUUGGGCGUAAAGCGCGCGUAGGUGGCCUCAUAAGUCCGUUGUGAAAGUCAAAGGCUCAACCUUUGAAAGCCGAUGGAUACUGUGAGGCUAGAGUACGGAAGAGGCGAGUGGAAUUCCUGGUGUAGCGGUGGAAUGCGCAGAUAUCAGGAGGAACACCAAUAGCGAAGGCAGCUCGCUGGGACGUUACUGACACUAAGGCGCGAAAGCGUGGGGAGCGAACAGG